AUGAGUAUGGGCGGUGUUAUUGCUAAGCGGUUGAGUCUGAACCGUACAAAGGGCCCCAUCUUUGAUGGUAUCUAUGCUUCACGCCUAGCCGCACAUUUUAACAUACCUAUUAGGCAUUAUGAGAAGGAAGAAAAAUUGCUGCCUCGUGUUUAUUUAGAUUAUAAGAGUAUGGUAGCACAUGAUUUCAUUAUAAAGAAUAGAGAAGGGGAGCUUAAAUACAAAUUGUUCUUUGAUAAACAUCAUCCGAAGACUAUUACCUUGCAUGUUCCUUCCUUGUUUGAUUUAUCUGCAGGCCAGUACCUUGUCUCGCCAAAGGACAUUCACGCCUACCGGAACCCUGCACCAGCCACAGAGCCAGAGUCGAAACCACCAGUUGAUCCUCCACGACAGUCUAAUUACCAGUGGGAUCUGGAGAUGAUUGCCAACCAGUAG
RNAcentral lists this ribosomal RNA (432 nucleotides) under Triticum aestivum (bread wheat). RNAcentral describes it as "partial small subunit ribosomal RNA". Lineage: Eukaryota; Viridiplantae; Streptophyta; Magnoliopsida; Poales; Poaceae. The record is from RNAcentral.